UGUGAUCGAAAGAAUACAGAUAAACCGGUAAAUCGUGUUUGAGGUAGUAAGUGGCUAAUUGAGAUGCUGGGGCGUCGUACCAGAAGUGCGAAUACAUCUGAAGACAAAAACACUUGAACCAAACUCUGGAAAGUUUUUCGAAACUCA
Caenorhabditis elegans is the source of this 147-nucleotide non-coding RNA. NCBI's taxonomy places the organism in Eukaryota, Metazoa, Nematoda, Chromadorea, Rhabditida, Rhabditidae. The record is from Ensembl.